Long non-coding RNA from Chrysemys picta bellii (western painted turtle), 507 nucleotides. Lineage: Eukaryota; Metazoa; Chordata; Testudines; Emydidae. The record is from Ensembl.
GCGUGAAGGGGCGGGGGCGGGGGACCCCCUGGGCUGGAGGCCCCGCCAUUGGAGGGGCUGAUGGCAGAGCGAGGGAGCUGGGGGCGGGGGGGUCAUCCAGGGCCAGGCUCCACCUGAGAUGCGUGUUGCUCAGCCCCGGACGGACGCGGGCGCCUCGCCAGGGAAGAAGCUGGGCACUCGGGCGCGGCCCCUUUAAGGCUGCUCCUGCCCGCUGGGGGCGAUGAGGAGCUGGCAGCGGCCGAGGAGCCAGGCGCAGCCCGACAGGUAGGCGGGGAGCCGGGCCCGAUCCUUGCCAGGCCGGCGCUGGAUGGAGCUGGCUGCAGUGUGGCCCCCCGGCCUCGGGCUGGGGAUGGAGCGGGCGCGGCGGCAGGAGGCGGAGCCCCAGAGCGGAUCCCGGCAUGGAGCUGACACAGCAGCCUGUGCCAGCUUUGCCCACCCAAAUACACCCCACUGCCAUCAGACCAGGGCUGGCUGGCUUUCCCUGAGAUGAUCUGAAGAGGAGCUGGA